UACAGGGGGGGCAAGCGUCGUUCGGAAUUACUGGGCGUAAAGGGCUCGUAGGCGGCCAACUAAGUCACACGUGAAAUCCCCAGGCUUAACCUGGGAACUGCGUGUGAUACUGGAUGGCUUGAAUUCGGGAGAGGGAUGCAGAAUUCCAGGUGUAGCGGUGAAAUGCGUAGAUAUCUGGAGGAAUACCGGUGGCGAAGGCGGCAUCCUGGACCGACAUUGACGCUGAGGAGCGAAAGCUAGGGGAGCAAACGGG
This 253-nucleotide ribosomal RNA is filed under the name uncultured bacterium. RNAcentral's name for it is "partial 16S ribosomal RNA". It matches the Rfam family "Bacterial small subunit ribosomal RNA", at positions 524 to 776 of the family's 1533-position model. The record is from RNAcentral.